AUUGAACGCUGGCGGAAUGCUUUACACAUGCAAGUCGAACGGCAGCACGGGAGCUUGCUCCUGGUGGCGAGUGGCGAACGGGUGAGUAAUAUAUCGGAACGUAUCCAAUAAUGGGGGAUAACUAGUCGAAAGAUUAGCUAAUACCGCAUACGCCCUGAGGGGGAAAGCUGGGGAUCUUCGGACCUAGCGUUAAUGGAGCGGCCGAUAUCUGAUUAGCUAGUAGGUGAGGUAAAAGCUCACCUAGGCGACG
Molecule: ribosomal RNA, 250 nt
Filed under: uncultured bacterium
Lineage: Bacteria
Description: partial 16S ribosomal RNA
Rfam family: Bacterial small subunit ribosomal RNA
Source: RNAcentral